UAAAGUCAAAUCAAUCAAUCAGUCCUUUUUCUUCCAUUGAUGAAAAUACGUCACAUAUUGAAAAGGCUCAAAUCAGUAUAAAAACUGAUCAAAGUGAUGCCUAAUCGAUAAAGUUUGGUGAAACCUGAUAAAAUUUAAGGAAAUUGUAAUUAAUUUUGUGCAUCUAUAAGCGAAAAUAAACUUUAUUACGCGUUUGAAAAUUUUCGACCGGUCGAAAAAGCAUGCCAUGAUUUCAGCAGGUGAUGUGUUUUAGUUUUCGACCCUUCAUCAAAAGUAAACAUCGUUCAUAGUGGUGGUUGAUCUUUCGUGGAGUUGAAUUUUCUGCUUCAACGGUUUUUAACCAAAACGAGCCCAGAAAAGUACAGACAAGUCUACGCAGAAGCCGACAUCUAGCAAAUAGCAUCUAAGGUAGUCAACAAGAACUCGAUUAUGGAAUUCCGAAAUUUCAUAUACAUAUUCAAUUCAGGAUUGGCGAAGAAAUAUCUAUCAGUCCGUUAUUCGUCCUGGACCGACCACAAUGGAGGAGGAGACCGAAUUUGAAGAGUUGAUAUUCGGCAGUCAGCGACGGGGAUGGUUAGUGAAACGUUGGAGCAUGUUGAAGGGUUUCUUGAUACUGCUGAAAGGCAAAACUAUUUUAAAGACAACCAUCCAGGUGAAUUGAUAGAGCAAGAUAAAUAAUAUCGCAAUAUUCUUAGAAAGGAGUUGAAGAGAGAAUCCGAAAUGAAGAAACAAGACCACGCUGAAGCAAAACGAA
Molecule: long non-coding RNA, 754 nt
Organism: Aedes aegypti (yellow fever mosquito)
Lineage: Eukaryota; Metazoa; Arthropoda; Insecta; Diptera; Culicidae
Exons: 2
Source: RefSeq, a predicted model, not a curated record